RNAcentral lists this ribosomal RNA (207 nucleotides) under uncultured bacterium. Its description in RNAcentral is "partial 16S ribosomal RNA". It matches the Rfam family "Bacterial small subunit ribosomal RNA", at positions 568 to 774 of the family's 1533-position model. The record is from RNAcentral.
CGCGUAGGCGGCUUGCACAGUCAGACGUGAAAUUCCUGGGCUCAACCUGGGGGCUGCGUUUGAUACGUGCGGGCUCGAGUUCGGAAGAGGGUCGUGGAAUUCCCAGUGUAGAGGUGAAAUUCGUAGAUAUUGGGAAGAACACCGGUGGCGAAGGCGGCGACCUGGUCCGAUACUGACGCUGAGGCGCGAAAGCGUGGGGAGCAAACA